UCCCAGUCCCGGGAUCCCCAGGUGUUCCCAUUCUGUGAUCAGCACAGAACACAGACAACUCACCAUGGAGUUUGUACUUGGCUGGGUUUUCCUUGUUGCUCUUUUAAAAGGUGUCCAGUGUGAGGUGCAGCUGGUGGAGUCUGGAGGAGACCUGGUGAAGCCUGGCGGGUCCCUGAGACUCUCCUGUGCAGCCUCUGAUUCACCUUCAGUAGCUAUUGCAUGAGCUGGGUCCGCCAGGCUCCAGGGAAGGGGCUGCAGUGGGUCGCAGUUAUUAGUAGUGAUGGAAGUAACACAGGCUACGCGGACUCUGUGAAGGGCCGAUUCACCAUCUCCAGAGACAACGGCAAGAACACGCUGUAUCUGCAGAUGAAUAGCCUGAGAGCCGAGGACACGGCCAUGUAUUACUGUGCAAAGGACACGGUGAGGGGAAGUCAGUGUGAGCCCAAACACAAACCUCAAACAAAGGUGGUCCUAAGACAGAAAUAUACAACAUACAAUAAGGCCUCAAGAAGCAAGAAAAAUCUGAAAUAA
Non-coding RNA from Leptonychotes weddellii (Weddell seal), 531 nucleotides. Lineage: Eukaryota; Metazoa; Chordata; Mammalia; Carnivora; Phocidae. The record is from RefSeq and is a predicted model, not a curated record.